RNAcentral lists this small nuclear RNA (277 nucleotides) under Octodon degus (degu). RNAcentral describes it as "7SK RNA (ENSODEG00000022624.1)". It matches the Rfam family "7SK RNA". Rfam says of the family: 7SK was discovered as an abundant small nuclear RNA in the mid-70s but a possible function has only recently been suggested. Two independent studies have found that 7SK RNA binds the CDK9/cyclin T complex (known as elongation factor P-TEFb). Lineage: Eukaryota; Metazoa; Chordata; Mammalia; Rodentia; Octodontidae. The record is from Rfam by way of RNAcentral.
GGAUGUGAGGGCAAUCUGGAUGUGACAUCUGUCACCCUGUUGAUUUCCAGGGUUGAUUUGGAAGGCAGGUGUCCCCUUCCUCCCCUACUGCCCCAUGUGCAAUCAGAGGAUAACCACCCCGAUAAAGGAAGGCCGUUUCCUUGGGCAAUGAUACCUGACUGGCUGCAUUCCCUGCAGGACCUCCAAAUAAGCCCUCAAGCAAACAUUGUUUUAUUUCAUUUAAUACAGGUGAUGACCUGACAACAUGUCAAAAUAAACAUUUAAUAAGUCAACCAAA